Molecule: long non-coding RNA, 687 nt
Organism: Macrobrachium nipponense
Lineage: Eukaryota; Metazoa; Arthropoda; Malacostraca; Decapoda; Palaemonidae
Exons: 3
Source: RefSeq, a predicted model, not a curated record
UACUUAAUUUCGCGCGGGAUCAGAGUAGUAUUGUAUCGUUAUUGUGUUGUUGAUGAAGGCGGGCGACAUGGCGAAGGAGUGUUCCUUACUACUCACGGAAAUAACUCCAGGCUGGUUGAACUGACGACAUUCGUAAUAUGAAGGAAGGUCUACGUGAUUUCGUGGCGAUUGUCACGGACUCCAGAAAGACUUUAAACCAGUUGAUAAAACUACGGUUGGAGAAACGCUGAAGCAAAAAUGUAAAGCAAGAUAGCCUAUUCUCAAGCAAGGUUAAGAUGGAAGAAACGACUGAAGCAAAAAUUCUAAAGCAAGGAUACUAUUUCUCAAGCUACGUUCCCAGUGUGUUGACUGGGACAACGAGAUGAUGCGAACUAAACUUAUUCAGGAACUUUGUUCGAUAUAUUUCCUCCACGAUAGCUUUAAAUGAGGUGAGGAUGGAGUCGGGAAUUAAUGAUUUAAUGUGUGAUUAGCUAUUUUAUAACUUUAGAAAUAUUAAAUUGAAGUGUACUAUAUAUGAAUGGCGCUGACUUCAUGAAUAAUUGCAAAUUGUUACAUUUUCUUGACAUGAAUUCAAAUAAAAUUACUUUUCUCAACCCCUCAGCUUUGUAAUCCCAGGGUUUCACUAUACUUUGACUUUAGGCGAACCACAUGUACAAUCACGUCUCAAUAUUACACUAAGCAAGUUAU